CAGCCGCCGCGGGAAAACAGAGGGUGCGAGCGUUAAUCGGAUUUACUGGGCGUAAAGCGUGCGUAGGCGGCUAAUUGAGUCGGAUGUGAAAUCCCCGAGCUUAACUUGGGAAUUGCAUUCGAUACUGGUUAGCUAGAGUGUGGGAGAGGAUGGUAGAAUUCCAGGUGUAGCGGUGAAAUGCGUAGAGAUCUGGAGGAAUACCGAUGGCGAAGGCAGCCAUCUGGCCUAAUACUGACGCUGAGGUACGAAAGCAUGGGGAGCAAACAGGAUUAGAGACCCCUGUAGUCCCUGUCUCUUAUAC
Molecule: ribosomal RNA, 301 nt
Filed under: uncultured bacterium
Lineage: Bacteria
Description: partial 16S ribosomal RNA
Rfam family: Bacterial small subunit ribosomal RNA
Source: RNAcentral